RNAcentral lists this unclassified non-coding RNA (322 nucleotides) under Hevea brasiliensis (rubber tree). Lineage: Eukaryota; Viridiplantae; Streptophyta; Magnoliopsida; Malpighiales; Euphorbiaceae. The record is from RNAcentral.
UAUUUCAUUUAAAUCAAAAUCAUUGUUAGUGUUUUUCAUGCAUGGAAGGAUGUGCAUUCAGAUGCCAAUGCCUCUCAUUGUGCAAAGACCCUGUUGCCACUGAACAACCUCUGCUUUUGAUAAAAAAAACCCUCUGCUUUUCUGCUGCUUCAUUUCUCCUUCUGUGUUAUUCGAUAAUAAAGAUUGAUGGAUUUGACUUUACUGGAACCUUUAGCUUGCAUUGUCCUUUUUUUCCCCUUGGGGUGUUGCUGGGGCAGGAUGGGACAGGUUGGAGUUAGUUUGAACUUUUGCUUUGUAGUUUUAUCUCUUCUUCCUCCUGUUU